GCCAUGCAUGUCUAAGUACAAGCGAAAAUAAAGUGAAACCGCAAAAGGCUCAUUAUAUCAGUUAUGGUUCCUUAGAUCGUAUCCACAAUUACUUGGAUAACUGUGGUAAUUCUAGAGCUAAUACAUGCAAUUAAAGAGAAACCAGUAAAAUGGGAUCUCUGCUUUUAUUAGAUUUAAACCAAUGGGGAUUGUUUGCGCAAUCUCUAUUACAAUGGUUGAACUCUGGAUAAUUUGUUGAUCGCAUGGUCUUGUACCGGCGACGGGUCUUUCAAAUGUCUGCCCUAUCAACUAUUGAAGGUAGUGUUUUGGACUACCUUGGUUGCAACGGGUAACGGGGAAUCAGGGUUCGAUUCCGGAGAGGGAGCCUGAGAAACGGCUACCACAUCUAAGGAAGGCAGCAGGCGCGUAAAUUACCCACUCCCGGCACGGGGAGGUAGUGACGAAAAAUAACAAUACAAGACUCACAUCCGAGGCCUUGUAAUUGGAAUGAGUACACUUUAAAUCCUUUAACAAGGAUCAAUUGGAGGGCAAGUCUGGUGCCAGCCGCCGCGGUAAUUCCAGCUCCAAUAGCGUAUAUUAAAGUUGUUGCGGUUAAAACGUUCGUAGUUGAACCUGUGUUCCGCACGGGCAGUACCUAGGACUGGGUAACUAGGACGGUACGUUGUCUUAUCUUUUCAUUGCUCUCAAAGGGGCUAUGGAAAAAGUGCGUGAACGUAUUAUCGACGUGUUCACUUUCGUUAUAUUACACAAAAUGUGUGUGUGACGAAAUUGUUCACAUAAGCCCAUUUCAGUCCUCUUUACCGAGUGUUGUUGUGGGCCGAUACAAAUUACUUUGAACAAAUUAGAGUGCUUAAAGCAGGCUUGUAAUGCCUGAAUAUUUUGUGCAUGGAAUAAUGGAAUAGGACAUCUGUUCUACUUUCAUUGGUUUUUUAGACCAAGAUGUAAUGAUUAAUGGAAGCAGUUGGGGGCAUUGGUAUUACAACGCGAGAGGUGAAAUUCUUAGACCGUUGUAAGACUG
Molecule: ribosomal RNA, 1018 nt
Filed under: Kibaleana apicospinosa
Lineage: Eukaryota; Metazoa; Arthropoda; Insecta; Diptera; Keroplatidae
Description: bacterial SSU rRNA
Rfam family: Eukaryotic small subunit ribosomal RNA
Source: RNAcentral